This is a long non-coding RNA of Fukomys damarensis (Damara mole-rat), 3763 nucleotides long. RefSeq lists it as uncharacterized. The transcript is spliced from 4 exons. NCBI's taxonomy places the organism in Eukaryota, Metazoa, Chordata, Mammalia, Rodentia, Bathyergidae. The record is from RefSeq and is a predicted model, not a curated record.
UCUUGAUCUUGCCGUUCCUGUAACCUUCCUUCUGUGUUCUUUCCUACAACUGGAAGAUUAUAGCUGAUAAAAUCCUAAAUUUCCAUACCAAUAAUAUAUUUCGGUUACAUUGCAAUUAGUUAUAGUAUGAUAUCCCUAAAUUCCCUCAAACACAUAUUUAUAGACUAUUUGUAAGCCAGAUAAGCUCUAAAUCAGUCAAUUUUAUAACCAGGUAUAGCUAGCUGAUUUCUCAGAUGUUUAAUUGCUCUGCCACCCUUGGGAUGAUUAUGUCCUCUCCUGUUCCUAUAACUUAAGGGACCAAAGAGCUCAUGGGAAAGCACUCAUCCUACUGACAGAUAAAGGACGGAAGAAGCCAGCAGUGACAUUGUAAGGUAAGGCUAAUGUGGAACCCAAUCUGUCACCUAGAUGCCCCUUUGGCCAGCUUCUCUAGAUGCAAGACUGUUUGUGGAAGAUGAACUUUUGAAUAAAGAACAAGAACAACUAAAAAUGCUAUUUUGUUUCUCCCUGGAGCCUUCGGAGCCAAAAGCACCAGGCAUAGAGUCCCCAGGGGUGGCCCUGCCAGGGGUAACAGCAGCCCUGGCAGGGUCCUGGCACUGACAGCCGUACUGUGAAUGGACACAGCUCACUGCAACCACGCUGGCUGCCCUGCCCUGGGUCCUGGGCAUGUGUAUCCCAUGACCUUUUCUACAGCCCAGAGAAGCCUCCGCUUGGAGGGCAGUGGUGGCACAAAAGCAGCUGUGGUGGCCUUGUGGGCAGUUGACACAGCAGCUGCUGCUGGCCGGCACUGGUGGGAUUCAAGACACAGAGGAUCAGGGACAGCCUUGGUCUCAGUGUACAGGACAGCAGGCCUCUGUGGGACCUGCUAGGCUGGAGGUCAUUUCAAGGGCAGGAGUGGCCCCUUUAGUGCACAGGAGGGUAGACCUUGACAUACACUGCUGGCUGACACUCCUGUGCUGUCACAGGUGGACAGGACAGGUCAUAUGUGUGCCACGCCCACGGCCACACGGGCCAGACCCAAGUCACUGGCAGGGCUGCUGUGACCUGCUUUCUGUGCCUCUGCCUCUGGGUGAUUGAGGUCAGCGCCGGUGUCUGUGGCACAAUCAGGGUUGACGCGUUUGGGGAAUGUGAAUAAACUGGAAAACGUUCCCAGAGCAGAUGGACCGUCCACAGUGUCUUUAGGACAAAGAGCUGCCGCAGGAGCCCCCAGGCAUCCAUCUGCGUGUCUUCUGCCAUGUGACCCUGCCCGGCCACAGUUCACGGGAUGGGGACCGAGGGCCGACACAAAGGCCGCCCAUUUAGAGGCCACAAAAGGGCUCCUCAGUAAGGACCGUGACGGGCUGAACUAAUCAGCCGCUCCUCGACGACUGAGUGCUGGGGACCCGGAGAUUUGGCAGGGAGGAGAACAGGACGAGGAGGACAAAGAGGAGAAGAGCAACAGGGCACGCGGUGAGUGGUGCUGGCACAGAAAGCCUUUUCUCCUGGACAGCACUCGCACUCCUGCAGCUCUGUCAGCACAGCCAAUGCGCUGAAUGUAAGUGAAGAGACCAUUGCAAAGCCAAGAAGAGAGGAGUAGAAGAAUUCAGUUGGUGGAGCACUUCACAGACACAUGAAUGAUCGGAAAAUUCUUAGGUGUGUGUUUUGCUGUCUUUGUUUUCGCUUACUUUGCUUGUGUGAGGAAACGUUCACAGUGGGACAGGCAGCUGACACCUCAAGACGUGUAAUUCAUGCCCGGGAGGACUCUGCGGCUAGUUUUCUGCCAUUCUCAGUUCCGUGGUUGUUCUUCUACUUAAUCCCUGUCCCAAGUUCUCUCAUCCUUUCAGAGAGCUUCCUGGUUCCUCACUCGUCUCCGGAUGCAUUUUUAAGAUAAAUCUGUCAACCUGAGGCACGGGCAGUGCGGCUCUGCUGGUGGCCACCUAACUCAACAGCAAGUAUGAGGGCGGGCAGGGAACAGACAGGGUUGUGUGUGCAGACUCAGAGGCACAUCUGAGUCUGUUUUCUGAAAAAUACAAAUGGCCUGCAGGAAAACUGUGAGCAUCUUCAGUAGCUGUUCUCCCAGUUUAAGGUGUCUCCUUUUUAAGGUUUCUCCUCCUCUCCCCAUCCACUCAGCUGUUCUUUUCCCUCCCCACAGCCCAUCCCAUACGACUCCUAUUAAGAGAGCAGCCUGUAUGACCCAGUAACACCCCAGGCACAGAGGUGCUGAUGGACAGAACAAGGCGCUCACACCUUCCUGCCAGUCUCCCCCAGGAAAGAACCGACCACCCAUGGUAUCCACAGGUUCUCAUUUCCAGCACGGACAGAUGUUAGGCGCUAAAGGUCAGCGUGGUUUCUGUAGAGACUGGCUGAAGGAAAAUGGCUCGUCUCCAAGCAGGAGCGUAUACAGCUCAUGCCUUCAGACUUCGACACUUCUCUUAGCUGCCAGAAAUAUUACUUCUGUAAAACCAGUAUUUAUUUAUUUAUUUUUAAACUUUCUUUGUUACACAGUAAAGAAUACAACAAUACCUGAAUCAUACUUUAAAGAUUCACAGGAUGACAGACCAUACAUUACAGUCCAACUCAGGAAAAAAAAGAUAAACAAGAAACCACAGUUCAGACAUAGUAGACUUAAAAGCUCAAGAGUUUGCGGACAGAGGCAUGAUGCCUAGACCCCACCCCCUACUGUUAGUCUACCCUUGACUUGUGGUACACGUCUAAAUUAAGAACUGCACAACUUUAAUUUUUCACAAUAAUGUCACAGAACCCAAAAUAAUAUUUUUUAAAAAAACAGAGAGAAGAGAUAGAGGACGCCCUAUUCCUAUCAGUGACCACCAUUCAGUUCUAUCCAAUGAAGAUACCUUCUUUUAAAAUGUGUUUAUGAGAUCUGCACGGGUGCCAAAAAGUGACAUGGUUUGCAGCUAUACAAGCUUAACUUUCAGUAUCCUGGUUCUUUUGUGGCCCUUUGGCUUGACUAGACCAGUUUUUGUUAGCUACUGGUCUAUACAUGCUGUCGGAGGUGCCUUGAAUUAAAAAGUAGUGAGACAUACUGUACUAAUCCCUAUUAAGAAGAUUAACAGUGCUGUUUCACAUACAUCACAGCUUCUAAAGACGUUUUGUAAGGAAAUGCCUGGUGCACGUGUAUAUGGAGAAGUGUUCCCCAGCCUUGUCAGCUUUGGUUGACUACACAGCCUGCAGCCCUGCCGACUCCGGUAAAGCAACAACCAUAUCCUGCUACUGUGUUCAAAACUAAGAAGAAGUUCUGGUCCGGACCCUGGACAAUGACGGGUUGAUGGAUCGGCACCUUUCUGAACAUGUUUAACCAGCUGAUUAUUUGGAAAGUGGAACUGUUGCUUUGCAAAAUCCCAAUUCUGGUCCAUCAGAUCAGUCUUUGACUGACUUCCCUUUUUGUAAGAAUGCUGUGUAACCUAGCGUUCAGCAGUGUUAAAGCUGUCAGUCUACACCUCAGCAAUUGGAGCUCUAAUGACUUUUUUAUCUUUUUCGUAAAAUUAGAAAUACUUAAACGACCUUACAGCAAUCUGCAUGCACUGUCUUUUUAUUUUAUUUUUCUAGUACCAGGGAUCAAACUCGGGUCCUUGCACUUGCGAGGCAGGCGGUGGCACCACUCAGAUGGAUCCUCAGCCCUGUGUUUCUUUUCAAAACAGGAUUUUUUUUAAAGUCCCUAAUAAUGCUUUUUUCCAAAAAAGGAAAAAAAGAAAAAAGAAAAUCAAAGUUUAAUUAAAUUCUUGACUUGAAAAGGACCUUUCUUUCUUUGUUCCUCUCUCCUCUCUCC